ACAGGUCUUCGGAUGCUGACGAGUGGCGAACGGGUGAGUAAUACAUCGGAACGUGCCCGAUCGUGGGGGAUAACGAAGCGAAAGCUUUGCUAAUACCGCAUACGAUCUACGGAUGAAAGCAGGGACCGCAAGGCCUUGCGCGAACGGAGCGGCCGAUGGCAGAUUAGGUAGUUGGUGGGAUAAAAGCUUACCAAGCCGACGAUCUGUAGCUGGUCUGAGAGGACGACCAGCCACACUGGGACUGAGACACGGCCCAGACUCCUACGGGGGGCAGCAGUGGGGAAUUUUGGACAAUGGGCGAAAGCCUGAUCCAGCCAUGCCGCGUGCAGGAUGAAGGCCUUCGGGUUGUAAACUGCUUUUGUACGGAACGAAAAGACUCUGGUUAAUACCUGGGGUCCAUGACGGUACCGUAAGAAUAAGCACCGGCUAACUACGUGCCAGCAGCCGCGGUAAUACGUAGGGUGCAAGCGUUAAUCGGAAUUACUGGGCGUAAAGCGUGCGCAGGCGGUUAUAUAAGACAGAUGUGAAAUCCCCGGGCUCAACCUGGGAACUGCAUUUGUGACUGUAUAGCUAGAGUACGGCAGAGGGGGAUGGAAUUCCGCGUGUAGCAGUGAAAUGCGUAGAUAUGCGGAGGAACACCGAUGGCGAAGGCAAUCCCCUGGGCCUGUACUGACGCUCAUGCACGAAAGCGUGGGGAGCAAACAGGAUUAGAUACCUGGUAGUCCACGCCCUAAACGAUGUCAACUGGUUGUUGGGUCUUUACUGACUCAGUAACG
Molecule: ribosomal RNA, 776 nt
Filed under: uncultured Acidovorax sp.
Lineage: Bacteria; Pseudomonadati; Pseudomonadota; Betaproteobacteria; Burkholderiales; Comamonadaceae
Description: bacterial SSU rRNA
Rfam family: Bacterial small subunit ribosomal RNA
Source: RNAcentral